This 448-nucleotide ribosomal RNA is filed under the name uncultured bacterium. RNAcentral describes it as "bacterial SSU rRNA". It matches the Rfam family "Bacterial small subunit ribosomal RNA", at positions 329 to 792 of the family's 1533-position model. The record is from RNAcentral.
AUCCAGACUCCUACGGGAGGCAGCAGUGGGGAAUAUUGGGCAAUGGGCGCAAGCCUGACCCAGCAACGCCGCGUGAAGGAAGAAGGCCCUCGGGUUGUAAACUUCUUUUCUAUAGGACGAAGAAGUGACGGUACUAUAGGAAUAAGCCACGGCUAACUACGUGCCAGCAGCCGCGGUAAUACGUAGGUGGCGAGCGUUAUCCGGAUUUACUGGGUGUAAAGGGAGCGUAGACGGUCCUGCAAGCCAGAUGUGAAAGCCCGGGGCUCAACCCCGGGACUGCAUUUGGAACUGUAAGGCUAGAGUGUCGGAGAGGCAGGCGGAAUUCCUAGUGUAGCGGUGAAAUGCGUAGAUAUUAGGAGGAACACCAGUGGCGAAGGCGGCCUGCUGGACGAUGACUGACGUUGAGGCUCGAAAGCGUGGGGAGCAAACAGGAUUAGAUACCCUGGUA